RNAcentral lists this ribosomal RNA (119 nucleotides) under Amphilophus citrinellus (Midas cichlid). The record is from RNAcentral. Lineage: Eukaryota; Metazoa; Chordata; Actinopteri; Cichliformes; Cichlidae.
GCUUAUGGCCAUACCACCCUGAACAUGCCUGAUCUCGUCUGAUCUCAUCACCUAAGUAGGGUUGGGACUAGUUAGCAUGUGGAUGGGAGACUGCGUGGGAAUACCAGGUGCUGUAAGCU